This 430-nucleotide unclassified non-coding RNA is filed under the name uncultured fungus. RNAcentral's name for it is "sequence contains ITS2". The stretch from base 1 to 154 matches the Rfam family "5.8S ribosomal RNA". Lineage: Eukaryota; Fungi. The record is from RNAcentral.
AACUUUCAGCAACGGAUCUCUUGGCUCUUGCAACGAUGAAGAACGCAGUGAAAUGCGAAAAGUAAUGCGAUUUGCAUGAAUCUGUGAGUCAUCAAGUCUUUGAACGCACCUUGCACCGUAUGAGCAAUCGUACGGUAUACCUGUUUGAGAAUCGUAAAAAUCUCUUUCCAUCCUUGGAUGGGAGACUUGUCGGUUGUGCCCUCAGGUACUCUGAUCAAAAGUAGUAGGUCGAGAUCAGGCUAGUGGCCUGGGACACUGUGUGCUAGAGACGUCGCGAAAGCUACUGUCUCCUCAUGGUGCGUCCUAGGCUAUUCAAGCUGGCCUGGUCGGGCCUCCACAGUCGGUACACUUGUGUACUGACAACCCCCCUUUUGAUCUCAAAUCAGGUAAGGCUACCCGCUGAACUUAAGCAUAUCAAUAAGCGGAGGCU